Molecule: non-coding RNA, 71 nt
Organism: Suricata suricatta (meerkat)
Lineage: Eukaryota; Metazoa; Chordata; Mammalia; Carnivora; Herpestidae
Source: the annotation of a RefSeq genome assembly
GCCUGGUUGGCUCAAUUGGUAGAGCACAUGACUUGAUCUUGAGGUUGUGAGUUCAAGCCUCACAUUGGGCA